GGCUAAUACCGGAUAACAUUUUGAACCGCAUGGUUCGAAAUUGAAAGGCGGCUUCGGCUGUCACUUAUGGAUGGACCCGCGUCGCAAUAGCUAGUUGGUGAGGUAACGGCUCACCAAGGCAACGAUGCGUAGCCCACCUGAGAGGGUGAUCGGCCACACUGGGACUGAGACACGGCCCAGACUCCUACGGGAGGCAGCAGUAGGGAAUCUUCCGCAAUGGACGAAAGUCUGACGGAGCAACGCCGCGUGAGUGAUGAAGGCUUUCGGGUCGUAAAACUCUGUUGUUAGGGAAGAACAAGUGCUAGUUGAAUAAGCUGGCACCUUGACGGUACCUAACCAGAAAGCCACGGCUAACUACGUGCCAGCAGCCGCGGUAAUACGUAGGUGGCAAGCGUUAUCCGGAAUUAUUGGGCGUAAAGCGCGCGCAGGUGGUUUCUUAAGUCUGAUGUGAAAGCCCACGGCUCAACCGUGGAGGGUCAUUGGAAACUGGGAGACUUGAGUGCAGAAGAGGAAAGUGGAAUUCCAUGUGUAGCGGUGAAAUGCGUAGAGAUAUGGAGGAACACCAGUGGCGAACGCGACUUUCUGGUCUGUAACUGACACUGAGGCGCGAAAGCGUGGGGAGCACACAGGAUUAGAUACUCUGGUAGUCCACGCCGUACACGAUGAGUGCUAAGUGUUAGAGGGUUUCCGCCCUUUAGUGCUGAAGUUAACGCACUAAGCACUCCGCCUGGGGAGUACGGCCGCAAGGCUG
RNAcentral lists this ribosomal RNA (751 nucleotides) under Bacillus sp. MN4(2014). RNAcentral describes it as "bacterial SSU rRNA". It matches the Rfam family "Bacterial small subunit ribosomal RNA", at positions 161 to 896 of the family's 1533-position model. Lineage: Bacteria; Bacillati; Bacillota; Bacilli; Caryophanales; Bacillaceae. The record is from RNAcentral.